GACGAACGCUGGCGGCGUGCCUAAUACAUGCAAGUCGAGCGGACUGAAUGGGAGCUUGCUCUUGUUCGGUCAGCGGCGGACGGGUGAGUAACACGUGGGCAACCUGCCCGCAAGACCGGGAUAACUCCGGGAAACCGGAGCUAAUACCGGAUAACACCGAAGACCGCAUGGUCUUUGGUUGAAAGGCGGCGCAAGCUGCCACUUGCGGAUGGGCCCGCGGCGCAUUAGCUAGUUGGUGAGGUAACGGCGCACCAAGGCGACGAUGCGUAGCCGGCCUGAGAGGGUGACCGGCCACACUGGGACUGAGACACGGCCCAGACUCCUACGGGAGGCAGCAGUAGGGAAUCUUCCGCAAUGGGCGAAAGCCUGACGGAGCGACGCCGCGUGAGCGAAGAAGGCCUUCGGGUCGUAAAGCUCUGUUGUGAGGGACGAAGGAGCGCCGUUUGAAGAAGGCGGCGCGGUGACGGUACCUCACGAGGAAGCCCCGGCUAACUACGUG
RNAcentral lists this ribosomal RNA (499 nucleotides) under uncultured bacterium. RNAcentral describes it as "partial 16S ribosomal RNA". It matches the Rfam family "Bacterial small subunit ribosomal RNA", at positions 28 to 507 of the family's 1533-position model. The record is from RNAcentral.